GUGGUGUUGGCUCAGCAGUAGAGCACAGGACUUGCAUGCAUGAGGCUCCAGGUUCAAUUCCCUGGCAUCAUA
Molecule: transfer RNA, 72 nt
Filed under: Erinaceus europaeus (western European hedgehog)
Lineage: Eukaryota; Metazoa; Chordata; Mammalia; Eulipotyphla; Erinaceidae
Rfam family: tRNA
About the family: Transfer RNA (tRNA) molecules are approximately 80 nucleotides in length. Their secondary structure includes four short double-helical elements and three loops (D, anti-codon, and T loops). Further hydrogen bonds mediate the characteristic L-shaped molecular structure. tRNAs have two regions of fundamental functional importance: the anti-codon, which is responsible for specific mRNA codon recognition, and the 3' end, to which the tRNAs corresponding amino acid is attached (by aminoacyl-tRNA synthetases). tRNAs cope with the degeneracy of the genetic code in two manners: having more than one tRNA (with a specific anti-codon) for a particular amino acid; and 'wobble' base-pairing, i.e. permitting non-standard base-pairing at the 3rd anti-codon position.
Source: Rfam by way of RNAcentral